Molecule: ribosomal RNA, 274 nt
Filed under: uncultured bacterium
Lineage: Bacteria
Description: partial 16S ribosomal RNA
Rfam family: Bacterial small subunit ribosomal RNA
Source: RNAcentral
AUACGGAGGGUGCGAACGUUAAUCGGAAUUACUGGGCGUAAAGCGCGCGUAGGCGGUUUGGUCAGUCGGAUGUGAAAGCCCUGGGCUCAACCUGGGAAUUGCAUUCGAUACUGCCUGACUAGAGUAUGGUAGAGGGAAGUGGAAUUUCCGGUGUAGCGGUGAAAUGCGUAGAUAUCGGAAGGAACACCAGUGGCGAAGGCGACUUCCUGGGCCAAUACUGACGCUGAGGUGCGAAAGCGUGGGGAGCAAACAGGAUUAGAUACCCCAGUAGUCC